CGUGCACGCCCUUUGCACAAGGGCAAUAAUUAGUCAGUGUGCAGAUGCUCUUGUGUUCACUUGCCACCUUGGCCACCUCAUUUAUUUCAGGGAUGGUCCACAGGAGGGUCAGUUCACCCCUGCAAUGGAAGGGCAGGCCGGCCUGGGUCCUGGAGAGUAGCUGCCCCCACCAGGCCAGCCACCCAGGCUUGGACUGCCCUAACAGUUCAGGAGACAGGGGAAUGUGUGCACAGGGGCCAUUAGAUGAAGCUGCUGGCAUGGCCUCGGUUUCCGGGUCAUCAACACUGAGGAGAGGGUGCAGCUCCAAGGGACCGUGUCCUGUGACAUCCUUCCCGGAAUGGGCACGCUGAGCGCCCCAGCCAGCAAGGCUCCCUUCCGGAUUUGAAGCCCUGGCCCAGUGACUCUGUGUCCGUUAGUGCGUCCUGGACAGGGGGGAUGCAGUUUCCUCCUCUGUAAAGCGCAGGGGUGGACUCAAUUCUCUCAAAGCUCCUUCUUCACUAGAAAUGAGCAAAGCAGCCAGGCCCGACUCCCCCCUCCCCAGACACCUCUGCCCGUGGACCCUGACUUCGGGCAGCCUGGUCACCGGGGCUGUCUCUGGCCCAUUCUCCUUCCCCUCUGCUGCCCUGGUCGGUGAGAGGUGGUCCAGAGUAGGCUUGGUCAUGAAUGGGAUUGAUGGAGCACCUCACCUAGCGUUCUAGAGCCAUUAAGAUUUGAUAAAAUCCUUCUGGAAACUCCAAUUAAAUGACCUUGUGUUGGACAAGACAGGAAGCACGAAGUUCUGCGACCGAAGAGGAUGAAAAGCUAAUCCAGAUGUUCACCAACAUUUCAAGAUCCUUGGAGACGUAUCUGAAGCCAGUAUUCGCAGCUACCCAUCACUGGGACAUCAGAAUCCAGGGUGAAGGAGGAAAAAAGGGGAAGGAAAAGGAACUGAAGCCUCCCCCAGUAACACAAGGUAAGGUAGGUAGUGGGUGGGCAGAUGAAGCUUUUGACCUAUGUGUGGCCAGGCGGUCAUGUGGGCUGCCCCUCUCACCCGGGAUCUGGCUGCUCGCUGGCUCCUCUCUGCCCCCUGAGAAUGACCAGGGGCUUAUCUCUGUCCUGCUGCAGACACCCUCCCUCAGGCUCUGAGCCACCAUCCGGCCAGGCCAGAUGGAGGGAGGUCAAGUCUACCCUGAUGCUUGUCACCCAACAUAGACAGCAUCUCCCUUCCAGAGAAUGUAGGCAACUAUGGCUCCACCUCCAGGCUCAGAACUGAGCCAUCUGUUUCCUGUUUUAUUUUACAUCUUUAAAAAAGAAACAAAACUAUUUA
Molecule: long non-coding RNA, 1306 nt
Filed under: Vombatus ursinus (common wombat)
Lineage: Eukaryota; Metazoa; Chordata; Mammalia; Diprotodontia; Vombatidae
Description: lncRNA (ENSVURG00010010923.1)
Source: RNAcentral